This 492-nucleotide ribosomal RNA is filed under the name uncultured bacterium. Its description in RNAcentral is "partial 16S ribosomal RNA". It matches the Rfam family "Bacterial small subunit ribosomal RNA", at positions 29 to 507 of the family's 1533-position model. The record is from RNAcentral.
AGUGAACGCUGGCGGUAGGCCUAACACAUGCAAGUCGAACGGCAGCACAGUAAGAGCUUGCUCUUACGGGUGGCGAGUGGCGGACGGGUGAGGAAGACAUCGGAAUCUACUUUUUCGUGGGGGAUAACGUAGGGAAACUGACGCUAAUACCGCAUACGACCUACGGGUGAAAGCAGGGGAUCUUCGGACCUUGCGCGAUUGAAUGAGCCGAUGUCGGAUUAGCUAGUUGGCGGGGUAAAGGCCCACCAAGGCGACGAUCCGUAGCUGGUCUGAGAGGAUGAUCAGCCACACUGGAAAUGAGACACGGUCCAGACUCCUACGGGAGGCAGCAGUGGGGAAUAUUGGACAAUGGGCGCAAGCCUGAUCCAGCCAUACCGCGUGGGUGAAGAAGGCCUUCGGGUUGUAAAGCCCUUUUGUUGGGAAAGAAAAGCAGCAGGUUAAUACCCCGCUGUUCUGACGGUACCCAAAGAAUAAGCACCGGCUAACUUCGUG